RNAcentral lists this non-coding RNA (120 nucleotides) under Rattus norvegicus (Norway rat). The stretch from base 7 to 75 matches the Rfam family "tRNA". Rfam says of the family: Transfer RNA (tRNA) molecules are approximately 80 nucleotides in length. Their secondary structure includes four short double-helical elements and three loops (D, anti-codon, and T loops). The record is from RNAcentral. Lineage: Eukaryota; Metazoa; Chordata; Mammalia; Rodentia; Muridae.
GGGGUUGGGGAUUUAGCUCAGCAGUAGAGCGCUUGCCUAGCAAGCGCAAGGCCCUGGGUUCGAUCCCCAGCUCCGAAAAAAAAAAAGAGAGAGAGAGAGAUAAAGCACUAAUUUUAAAUU